UGCAGUCGAGCGGAAGGCCCUUCGGGGUACUCGAGCGGCGAACGGGUGAGUAACACGUGAGCAACCUGCCCUAGGCUUUGGGAUAACCCUCGGAAACGGGGGCUAAUACCGAAUAUGACCUCCGAUCGCAUGGUUGGUGGUGGAAAGUUUUUCGGCCUGGGAUGGGCUCGCGGCCUAUCAGCUUGUUGGUGGGGUGAUGGCCUACCAAGGCGACGACGGGUAGCCGGCCUGAGAGGGCGACCGGCCACACUGGGACUGAGACACGGCCCAGACUCCUACGGGAGGCAGCAGUGGGGAAUAUUGCACAAUGGGCGGAAGCCUGAUGCAGCGACGCCGCGUGAGGGAUGACGGCCUUCGGGUUGUAAACCUCUUUCAGCAGGGACGAAGCGAAAGUGACGGUACCUGCAGAAGAAGCGCCGGCCAACUACGUGCCAGCAGCCGCGGUAAGACGUAGGGCGCGAGCGUUGUCCGGAUUUAUUGGGCGUAAAGAGCUCGUAGGCGGCUUGUCGCGUCGACCGUGAAAACCUGGGGCUCAACCCCAGGCCUGCGGUCGAUACGGGCAGGCUAGAGUUCGG
RNAcentral lists this ribosomal RNA (575 nucleotides) under uncultured Micromonospora sp. Its description in RNAcentral is "bacterial SSU rRNA". It matches the Rfam family "Bacterial small subunit ribosomal RNA", at positions 56 to 651 of the family's 1533-position model. Lineage: Bacteria; Bacillati; Actinomycetota; Actinomycetes; Micromonosporales; Micromonosporaceae. The record is from RNAcentral.